AGCAGCCGCGGUAAUUCCAGCUCCAAUAGCGUAUAUUAAAGUUGUUGCAGUUAAAAAGCUCGUAGUUGAAUUUCGGGGUUAGCAGGUCGGUCGUGCCAUCGGUAUGAACUGGCCUCGCUGAUCCCUCCCUCUUGACGAACUGUGAUGCCAUUAAUUUGGUGUCGCAGGGAAUCAGGACUGUUACUUUGAAAAAAUUAGAGUGUUUAAAGCAGGCUCACGCUUGAAUACAUUAGCAUGGAAUAAUGAAAUAGGACGUUUGAUCCUAUUUUGUUGGUUUCUAGGAUUGACGUAAUGAUUAAUAGGGAUAGUUGGG
This 313-nucleotide ribosomal RNA is filed under the name uncultured Glomus. RNAcentral's name for it is "SSU rRNA". It matches the Rfam family "Eukaryotic small subunit ribosomal RNA", at positions 569 to 886 of the family's 1831-position model. The record is from RNAcentral. Lineage: Eukaryota; Fungi; Glomeromycota; Glomeromycetes; Glomerales; Glomeraceae.